AUUAAUACAGCCGGCAGGGUCGCCCCAGAACUGCAGGAUUACUACACAGCACGUACCCAUCUGUAACUAUACACGCGUCUACUAUGGGUGCCCGUCGUUUGGCUUUCAACGUCAUUUUUCCGAGAACGACAAAGCUCAGUCCUUCCCCCACGACCAAAGGGCCGAGGCCAACAAUGAGCUCCCUCCACACUCGACGCUGCCAUGCCGAACGGGCCUCCGGGGAAGCGCAGAGUCUUCCGAGGGCGCUCAGCCCCCCGCCCCGACCUCUGCCCGAGCCCCGAGUCCCGUUCGGGGAUCCCUGCUGCGAUCGCACCUCCUCCUCCAUCCUCCUUCAAGCAAGCGGCGCUGAUUGCGCAUCCCACUUCCGUCACGGACUUCCCUUAAAAACCACAUUAACGCGGCUUUUAUUAUUCUCAUUACUAUUACAGCCGUCAUCUUUCUUUUCACGCGCCGAGGUGGCGAUCCCCCCCAAUCUCUCGGCCGUUAUCUCUAGGAAACAUCAAAGUAUCUUCUAUCAUGGACGAGUCAAAUGAACACAAAGUAAGCAAACAGCCUGUGAUAGAAGGUGCGGUUGGGUGCCUGGUUAAAGCACGUCCUGGUACAGCAGUGGUUCUCAUGUGGCACUACCACAGUAGUUAUCUAAAGGAGAGGUUGGAGGAGGAGUGCUGAAGAAGGCUGUUGAGCACCUUCAGGAACUGAUAAAGCUGAAGAACACUUCUCAAAUGCUUGUAGUAAAUCAUAAGAAACGUUGCUACGUCCGGUUGAAAAUCACAUGGCUUCAAGAAUCAGAUUCCUGAGCCUUUGCUGAGUGUUAAAAGCAAAAGUGACUUCAAGAGAAAGUGGGGCUUUGUUAGUUUAUCGCAGACAGGUGAUGUGGAAGAUGUUUUUCCAAGGCAAUGGGCACAGGAAAGUGUUUCAAAUUAGCAUCCCGCUGGCAGAAGCGGUUGCAACGUGAAUUCCUUUCUAGCCGGCCUAGCAGCAGCCACCAAGCAGAAACCAACUGGAAUAAAUGCUUCUGCUCCUGAGCAAGCUGGAAGCAGACCUGGGAGCAGGAAUUAGAUGAUAUUCUACACCAGCACAGAAUAAACUGUGUGAGAAUGAGAGAAAAUGGGAUCGGUGAAUGAAAAGGGUUAAUAUAAUGAGUAAAGAAAAAAAAUGGAUAUCCUGGAAAUUCCAUAAUUCAAGCUCUUAGUUACUUCAGAGCAAGGUGGUACUCAGAAUUAUUUGUUUUCUGAAUUUAAAUUGACUUUUUAUGUGCAACAGUGGAAAUUAAUGGUUUCCGCUGUUGUUGUCGAUUGUCAUCUGAAGUCAGUUGUGCCAUUACUGGCUUUGCAAGACUGUUCUGUCCAUCAGCUAUUUGAAAAGGGGAUGCUGCCCUUUUUUCUUCUCCACCUUGUUGUUCAUCCAGCAAACUGCACAACUGAUUGCCAGUGGCUGCUGAAAAGCCAAGGUCUGUUUGAAAAAUUUUGAAGGUUGUGGGAGGACUGAAGUUUGUCCCUUCCACUAUCAUCUCUACCUGCUGAAAAGCAGAAGAUGCUUCUUUUGUUUACUACAUGGGUGCCCUGAGCCAUGCCUCCCUCUGGAAGAGCCUCUCAUCUAUACAAAACUGAGGGAAUCUGGAACAGUUCCCAGCUCCAAGGAUUUUGUUUUGUGCAUUGAUUGAUAUCAAGUGGUUGCAAUUUACAUUCUUUACCUGCACUAGAGGCCAUCCUCACAGAGAUGCCUUCAACAGCCAAAUGCAUUCAUAACCUUUGCAGUGUUCAAAAGGACUGUCGCAAUAGUUGUGUUCAUGCUUACAUUCAUGAUACAACAUUUACUGAAGAAUAAAUUAAAUUGAUAAAGAUAGGAAAAUGAUAUUCUGGUUGAGUUACUAAACACUUGUAAUUAAGUAUGGAUAUCAUGCACAAGGUAUUAAUAUUGUGACUUUAGGGAAUCAAGUUUCUUAGUCCAGUUUUUCUUGAUAAUCUUAGUCUUAAAACUUCCCAGGAAGGUGAGGGGAGAGUACAAAUUGUCUAUGUGGAGAACAAUGCAUAUGGAAAAGUUGUGUGAGUUUGCAUACAUUGGAAGCUUGGCAUUAGAGAAUAGCCUUGUUCUCCAUCCUCAGCUCCAGCUUUGCUUCUCUCAGUUUUUGUCAGUCUCCGAUUGCUUUUUGCACCAAUUACAGUGAUAAAGUCAGUAGAAGAAGAAUACUCUUAUUAAAUAAAAUAUUUUAAGGGUACUGUGACCUGCUAAACAUCAAUAUUGCUAAGACUGAGAGACUAUUUUUAAUAAAUUGCUUAACCAGGAUUUUUUAAAUCUAAAUAAAUUGAAAUACUCUUUAUUUUGUGAAUGUACACACAUAUAUAUAAAGGCAUUUGAUUUUAUGGAAGUAAAUUGUUCCAAAAGAUUUACACCUGAGAAAGAUAAAAGCUGUAAAAUGUGUACUGUUUCAUUUGUGUCCUUUGUUUUUCACGUGUGGUGCCUUGGGUUGAACAAUCAUUCUAAAACCAUUAUAUCAGUGCACAAAGAUCUUUAUUCUAGGCAAAGAUACCUCUUGUGAAGAAAGAAGUGUGCACAGUAUGCAGACUGAGAAGUACCACAUGUCACCUCAUGGUUCAUCUCUAAAGGAAUAUGCAAGCUGGAUAUUGCUCAAGUUCUUUUCCUUCACCAUUUGCUGUCCACUUAAUGAAGACAAAGAUUGCCUCGUUUUUGGAAGGCAAUAAAUAAAGAAGAGCAACAGCUGGAAUUUAAGUCACUGAUAUUUGCAAGGUUUCAGGAGAAGUAAACUAGGAACUCCUUCAUUUGGAUGAGCAUCAGACAGGAGAUAACACUGAUCUGUCUGCAUGGCCAGUCGGAGUUGUCUCAUUGCUCAGAAUCAAAAAAGCCUUCAAUUAUGGGAAGGAAAAAAGAGUCAACAGCCAAUUUUUUAGAAUAUAGUUCACUUGUCACAGUCAUUCACAAGUUUUACUACCCACUUUUAUUUGCAAACUAAAACGUAGGCUGUGACAGUGUGAGGAUGAGAGUUCCACAUGGGCAUUUUAAAGGAAAAUAUAUAUGAACUUCCCUUCAACUUAGCCAGCCUGUACGAACUGCUUCUUACUUAUAUUAUUUUUCUGUAGCAGGCUUUUGGCAGGUUCCAAACGAAUCUAUAACGCAGAAGUGCUUGUGAAAAGUUGUAGAGAAUGCCCUACCAGUUGCUACUGUGCUUUUGGGAUGACAAGGCUUCUUUCAAGUUUGUAGCAGUUAAGGAAAGCAACCGAAGUUAUUAAUGUGUAGCACCUCCAAGUUGCUAUCUGGAUUCUUAUCUACAUUGCGCUUGUGUUAUAGAAACAUUUGUCAACUUCAAAUUUUUCUCCAAGCACAAGAUGCAUCUCUGUUAUCUGCAGAGUUGCACUGAGCCAUUUUCUAAGAGUUAUGAUUAUUAUCUCCACAUUCUCUGCAGUAGCUUCUAUCUCUUUUUGAAAGUGCACUGCAGUUGUCUUGAGCGCUGUUAAGUCUGUGUGGUCCCCUUAUGGUAUGUUUGCAAGGGUGGAUAGUGAUAGGACAAGGGGGAAUGGUUUUAAACUGAGACAGGGGAGGUUUAGCUUAGACAUUAGGAGGAAGUUUUUCACACAGAGGGUGGUGACGCACUGAAACAGGUUGCCCAAGGAGGUUGUGGGUGCCCCAUCCCUGGAGGCAUUCAAGGCCAGGCUGGAUGUGGCUCUGGGCAGCCUGGUCUGGUGGUUGGUGACCCUGCACAAAGCAGGGGGGUUGAAACUGGAUGAUCAUUGUGGUCC
This 3755-nucleotide long non-coding RNA is filed under the name Gallus gallus (chicken). The record is from RNAcentral. Lineage: Eukaryota; Metazoa; Chordata; Aves; Galliformes; Phasianidae.